UACGAAGGGGGGCUAGCGUUGUUCGGAAUUACUGGGCGUAAAGCGUGCGCAGGCGGCUUCUCAAGUCAGGGGUGAAAGCCCAGAGCUCAACUCUGGAAUUGCCUUUGAGACUGAGUGGCUUGAGUACGAGAGAGGUGAGUGGAAUUCCCAGUGUAGAGGUGAAAUUCGUAGAUAUUGGGAAGAACACCGGUGGCGAAGGCGGCUCACUGGCUCAUUACUGACGCUCAGGCGCGACAGCGUGGGGAGUCAAACAGG
Molecule: ribosomal RNA, 255 nt
Filed under: uncultured bacterium
Lineage: Bacteria
Description: partial 16S ribosomal RNA
Rfam family: Bacterial small subunit ribosomal RNA
Source: RNAcentral